AAUAAAAUAAGUAUAAACAUUAAAUUUUUCUUUACUUGUCACUACUUACCAUUUCUCCUAUCGAAAAUUAAAAUAUAUUUGUCAUUAUAAAAGAAAAAAACAAAAAAAAUAAUUAUCAAAAAAUGGAUUCACCUAACAUUUGCUUAGAGAUAAAUGCAGGAAAGUGCAUUUAUGACGGAAAAACUGUAAAACCAGAUAACAGAAAAGGGAAGCUAGUCAUUUAUAAAGUUUAUGAUAAUCUUUAUAAUUUACAAUGGAUUAAUAGAGAAAAUAAUAAAGUUGAGGUAAUAAAAAAAAAAAAAAAAAUACAAGCCUAUUUAUUGUCUACAA
This 330-nucleotide long non-coding RNA is filed under the name Piliocolobus tephrosceles (Ugandan red Colobus). RNAcentral describes it as "lncRNA (ENSPTEG00000004437.1)". Lineage: Eukaryota; Metazoa; Chordata; Mammalia; Primates; Cercopithecidae. The record is from RNAcentral.